Molecule: ribosomal RNA, 471 nt
Filed under: uncultured marine bacterium
Lineage: Bacteria
Description: bacterial SSU rRNA
Rfam family: Bacterial small subunit ribosomal RNA
Source: RNAcentral
AGAGUUUGAUCAUGGCUCAGAUUGAACGCUGGCGGCAGGCUUAACACAUGCAAGUCGAACGGUAACAGAACUAGCUUGCUAGUUGCUGACGAGUGGCGGACGGGUGAGUAACGCGUAGGAAUCUACCGAAUAGUGGGGGACAACAGUUGGAAACGGCUGCUAAUACCGCAUACGCCCUACGGGGGAAAGGAGGGGAUCUUCGGACCUUUCGCUAUUUGAUGAGCCUGCGUGAGAUUAGUUAGUUGGUGGGGUAAUGGCUCACCAAGGCGACGAUCUCUAGCUGGUCUGAGAGGAUGAUCAGCCACACUGGGACUGAGACACGGCCCAGACUCCUACGGGAGGCAGCAGUGGGGAAUAUUGCACAAUGGGGGAAACCCUGAUGCAGCCAUGCCGCGUGUGUGAAGAAGGCCUUCGGGUUGUAAAGCACUUUCAGUUGUGAGGAAAGGUUAAGGGUUAAUAACCCUUAGCUGU